Molecule: ribosomal RNA, 292 nt
Filed under: uncultured bacterium
Lineage: Bacteria
Description: partial 16S ribosomal RNA
Source: RNAcentral
GGACUACAGGGGUAUCUAAUCCUGUUUGAUCCCCACGCUGUCGCGCCUGAGCGUCAGUUACGAGCCAGUGAGCCGCCUUCGCCACCGGUGUUCUUCCCAAUAUCUACGAAUUUCACCUCUACACUGGGAAUUCCACUCACCUCUCUCGUACUCAAGCUUUCCAGUUUCAAUGGCAAUUCCGGAGUUGAGCUCCGGGCUUUCACCACUGACUUGGAGAGCCGCCUGCGCGCGCUUUACGCCCAGUAAUUCCGAACAACGCUAGCCCCCUUCGUAUUACCGCGGCUGCUGGCAC